RNAcentral lists this long non-coding RNA (238 nucleotides) under Coffea arabica (coffee). RNAcentral's name for it is "long non-coding RNA (CARA_LNC004170)". Lineage: Eukaryota; Viridiplantae; Streptophyta; Magnoliopsida; Gentianales; Rubiaceae. The record is from RNAcentral.
GAUCUCACCGCGGACACUUGAACUCCCAGAAAAUAAUUCUUAUUGAAUUGCUCGGUGAGUGUCAAGUGUAUGAAUUUGAUACUUGCUUAUUUGUGAUACUUGUUGGGAGUUUUAAAAAUAAGGGCGGGUGCGUAUUUUAUCGCACUCGUUCUAAUUUCAAAUGAAUGAAUGAAUGAAUGAAAUGUAUUGAAUGAAUGAAUGAAAUGCAAUGUCAUGUCAUGAAUGCUUGUAUCGUUGG